CCAUUAACUCAACUGUGACACCACUUGUCCGCGCGCGGAAAAGAUAAAAUAGUUAUUUUUUCAUCAACCAUAUUCGACCAGUUCCUACGCGACGGAAAAGAGACCUUUGCGCUUAAUGAAGGAUUAAAAUUCCAAUCAAAGCCAACCUGCACAAAUCAUUACCCGCAACAACAGCCACAAUACCCCGGGCCAACAGUGAGAGAAGCAGUCGGGCGGAUUGUCUCAGCAUAACGACACAAAACAUCGCUCAAAGUGGCAACACGUUUUUGCAAAAGUCGUCAAUAGUAGGCCACCGUUGUACAGCGCUGGUUCGCAAUAGUCGUCCGUCCGGGACGGUUGAUUGGCGUCGGCGUCGGAAGUUAGAUGCGUAUCGUACCGAGCCGGGUAAUGUGCCCGAGAGAAGAUUCCACCAUUCUCGCACCGUACCGUCGCCAUCCGUGUGCCGCACCGAGUUGCCGCGCAUGGUGUUAAUUUUAGAAUCGAUUCCCGCGUCACAACCAAGAGGGACGAACUCAUCCGCCAGCGGAAAGACACACACGGGGCGCUUGGCGGUAAAUCGGGAGCGACCAAUUCCGUACUUGGUUGUUAGCCACUGGCUGUGCUAUUUCAGCAAGACACGUACGAAAAUCACGCCGUUGGCAGAUGGGCAAACCCGGUCGUAUUCGCUACGUGUGGUGGUGCUAAUGCAAUAAGCGCGCUAGGGAAGCGUUCGCUGGGUGGAAAAUUCACGCGUUGCUGUAAAUUACAACCUUCUUCCUCCCAAAAAAAAAAAAAAAAACGGGGAACCAUCUUCAUUCUCUCUAGUCCACGAUACAGCGAAGGCACGCAUAAUAUCGAACCAAGAUCUAUCGAAGGACUCACACGCGCAUUGCUGGUUAAAUGUGCCCCGGUCGGUGUCGUUAUUGUUAUCACUGUUGUUGCUGUGGCAGCGGAAGCCAGAAUCGAAGCAGUACCAGCAGCGGACGGAUCGGUGGACGGGGUCCGCUCGGUUGGAUGCAGCUUUGGCAGCGCAAAGUAGCAAUCGCUGGCAGCAGGGAAAAGUUGGCCGAUUAACCAGCAGUGGCACAGGGUCAAUUCGUCGGCAGUGUGAACGGGGGAACGGUAUAGUACAAGUGAUGGAGCAUUCGGCGAAGCUGUUGGCCGGUGGUGCGGAUGACACCAGCCCGAAAGGGUCACCCGCCGCCGUACCCGGUGCGGCGUGUCAUCCAUGCCCGCCGCUGCGGCCAGCAGUCGGGAAUGCAAGUGAUGCGGUAGUCUGUGAUAGAAGUAACGUGGUUACAAUGGAUGAAGCUGGCGAAACCUUACCACUGGCCGGCCGUUCGUUGGAUGCAGAGCAGGGGGAGGAUAACUGCACCGAUACGGAUGAUCAGAAUAGUAAUUAUCUAAGCAUUAGCAAUAGUCGCAGCAGCAGCUGCUUUGACCUACCUGGCGAGUGCUCACCGAUGAUGGGCACCGCGAGAUUGCCGAAAGCGGACGAGAGCCGGCUAACGCUGGUAAACGAAAGGUACACCAAAUCGGUGCCGUCCGCCGUACCGGCGCAAUCCCCGGGACAGGUUGAGGGCGUUGGUGGAGGUGGUAAACUUUCCGGGUCAAAGCAACGGCUCGAUUACGACGCGGAGGAUGCGGAAGAGGAGGAUGAGGACGAGGAGGAGGAGGAGGAGGACUCGUCAAUGCUAACGCAUUCGGCCGCAACGACCGCAACCGUUUCGUCCAACAAAUCCCGUCUGCUUGUGGCCUCGGAACAGCAGCCCGGAAGCUCCAGCAGCCGAGGAGCGCCGGAUGCUGGCGUUUGUUGUAACAUAGUGGACAAUCCGGUCAGCGAGACGGCCCCGGCGAUGGAUGUCGGCAGUACGGGUAAUAACGCACAGGAUGGUACGCGCACACCGGCAACGGGAACGGCUGCUAAUGGUGUUGCCGGCGGCAGUGGAAAUCCGCACAGCCGUGUCACAACGACACCCUCCAACUUAAGCAACUGCAGUGGCCUACCGACCGUCACCGUGGUGCAGCUGAAGCAGAGCAAAAAUCUCAUCUACUUCCUGCGAUUGAUCUUCAAUCACUGUAAGAGCUCCGGUAUAGGAGAACCGAGCGUUUAUCAUGCCUUAGUAGUCAUAUUUUUGGAAUUUUUCGCCUGGGGACUUUUAACGAUGCCUGUCAUAAAUGUCCUCAAUCAAACCUUCCCAGAUCACACCUUCCUAAUGAACGGGUUGGUAAUGGGCAUAAAGGGCAUACUAUCAUUCCUCAGCGCUCCACUGAUUGGUGCCCUUUCGGACGUUUGGGGCCGGAAGUUCUUUCUGCUAAUUACGGUGUUCUUCACCUGCGCUCCGAUCCCACUAAUGUCGAUCAACUCGUGGUGGUUCUUCGCAAUGAUCUCAAUCAGCGGUGUGUUCGCGGUAACGUUUUCCGUUGUGUUUGCUUAUGUAGCAGACGUGACGACGGUGGAGGAUCGGUCACGAGCGUAUGGUCUGGUGUCAGCCACCUUCGCCGCUAGUUUGGUUAUUUCACCCGCACUCGGAGCUUACCUGAACGACAAAUACUCGGAACCGCUAAUUGUGGCCCUGGCCACUGCAAUCGCUGUGCUGGAUGUGUUCUUCAUUCUGGUGGCGGUGCCGGAAAGUUUACCGGAAAAAGUACGACCCAGCUCCUGGGGAGCCCCGAUCAGCUGGGAACAGGCAGAUCCGUUUGCAGCGCUCCGUAAAGUUGGUCUGGAUCAAACGAUUCUGAUGCAGUGUGUUACGGUGCUGCUCUCUUAUCUGCCAGAAGCGGGACAAUAUUCGUGCAUUUUCGUCUACCUGAAACUGAAAAUGCAUUUCAGCUCGAUCGAUGUAUCGAUCUUUAUUGCUGUCGUCGGUAUACUAAGUAUACUGACGCAGGUCAUCCUAGGUGAUCUAAUGAAGGCACUUGGUGCAAAGCGUACAAUAAUAAUAGGAUUACUGUUCGAAAUGUUACAACUGCUUUGGUAUGGUUUUGGCAGUCAAACAUGGAUGAUGUGGGCAGCAGGUAUCCUUGCUUCAUUAGCGUCAAUUACGUAUCCGGCGAUCAGUGCAUUUGUGUCGAUACAUUCCAACCCGGACCAACAAGGGGUGGUCCAGGGUAUGGUGACAGGAAUGCGCGGUUUGUGCAACGGUCUAGGGCCAGCGAUGUUCGGCGUCAUCUUCUACGUAUUUCACGUCGACCUGAACGACGAGCAUAACGUUGCGAGCCAUAGUCUUAACGGUGCCGCGAUUGGAGCAGUGGCGGGCGGUGGAGUUUUUGACGGAUCCGAUGCAAAGUUUGUGCGUAACGAGACGCUACUCGGGGGCUCGGUGCACCAUCGCAUUGAGGACGAGUACUCACAGCUUAUGCCGGGCCCUCCGUUCGUGUUCGGGGCGCUAAUGGUGAUAUGUGCCAUCGCCGUGGCCGCGUUCAUUCCGGAGACGCCCAGCGAUACCAUCCGGCGGCCAUCGGGUGAGAAGAAAAAAAGCGGCUAUAGGAGCCAAGACAGAUUGACCGUUCUUAUUGGAGACUGAUUUGCACGGUGAUAAGUGUGACAAACUGCGAGCGAUACAACAAUUCAAUCGCCCAACGAAAGUGACCGUCAGAAGAGAUGGGCAGAAAAGUGCGAGAAUAGACUUUUUCACAUACCUCACCCAACCAUUAACACAACCAUUGCACUCUUUGCUGCGUUUGUGUGCCGCACUUAGCUCACUGGAUAGUUUGGAUAGUUUGAAGAUGGAAAAUGUUUCCACCUGAUUUGCUACCGAACCUUGUGGAAUGUGUGCGUUCGUUAUGAAUUCAUUUUACUUUCUCGUUUUAAUACCCAAUUAACACACUUUCGUCGAGGGAAUGCUUAUCGAGGGCAUGCCAUGGCAGUUUGUUACGAAAGGCUGUCGUUAGAUGUCGAUUAUGAAUACGAGCGUGGGCGUAAGGUAGCGGGCCCACUGUCACCACUGAUGCACCAGGACUCUGCUCAGCUAUAGUUGUGUUAAAAGAAACUUAGCACCCGCUGCACGUUGGUGUGGUGUUAUGCGCUCGAUAUAAUCCUAAUCGUCGUCAUCAUUAGUUUGUACAAUCUAGUGUAAGCAGCAGCAGAAACACCUUUGGUAACACUGAGUAGGCGAGAGUGGAAGUAGCGUACAGAGGAAACAUGUAAAUCAAGGUCAAGGCAGGGAAGCGCUUUUGGUAAUGUGGAGUGGUAUGUUGUUGGGGUAGAAAUGUGCGCUGUAUAAAAAUGUAUUCUGUUCUUUUUGUUUUAGACUACGAAAGUUCAUGGUGUCUUAUUAUGGUUGUUACAUAGAGCAGCAUUGUGAAUUAUUGUCACUAAAAAACCAUGUCCUUUUUCCUUCCGAAGGUAGGCAAGGUUUCUCUUUUCAUGAUUUGUUUUAUACCUAUUGUUUGUUGAAAAGAAACCAUUUGUUCAUGUGUACGGUUCGUUUUUGUUUAUUUUAAGCUGCGUGUGUGCAUUGUGGUAAUCGACCAAAAGCGUACUUUAAAAAAAUCUGGUUUGUUAUGAUGAAAAGCUUUAAACAAAACAACAAAAAAGCCCAAACUGCUUGCGGUUCGGAACUUUUGAGAUGUAUAACUACCGCUUUGGCAGUUGCUGGCACAACGAACGUACAUAGAACCGUAACGCUUUUUUAAAUUUUGCCAAGUUUGUCCAAAUGUUUUCCUUAGUCUAGUCAAAUGACGGACACACAUUUAACGGAAAGAUGUAAAAACACAGCUCAUGCUGGUACUAACGGGUUAGGUUUUCCUACGCUACACUAACUGACUGUGCGCUGUUUGCUAGUGGGAAACAUUUCAGUGUUGAACAGUAAGGGAAUGUUGAAUUGGCAGCAGGAGAAUGACGUGUAUAAAUUAGGACUGAAUGUGGAAAGGGAAAACAAUGUGCGAGGAAGAGUAUUUUUGGCCGUGGUUUGCUUAGUCUACGACAAGGAAACCGAGUGAUAGUAGGAUAAGAUUAACGAUUAGCAGGAAAGGGUAAAAGAAGCGUGAUGCGGAAAUGAGCCAGAAACAGCUGGGGUGGAUCAUGUGGAUAGCAACAAAUCAGAUCGUUACAGUGUCACCCAUCUACCCGUAAUACCGAAAAACAAAGGCACUACCAUUAGGUUUUUAGCUACUGGAGCGUAUGGUUACUGUGUAAAUUAUGUUAAAAUAGGAUGUUUCAAGAAUUUAACGACAUCGUUUGACUAUGAUUCGAUUUAAAUGCUACGCCUAGAAAUGGGGUCGAGAAGAAGAUGGUUUAAAAUUCGUUGACACCGGGAACAGUUGAAGCAAGGCACGAGCCACCCAAUUCUUUUGCGAUCGGUAGAGUAUGCUUCACGAUGUUACCCUCUUGCAGAUAAGUAUUGUCAAGAGCAUGAUUAUGUACGAGCAGUAUAACACAGGUGUAAAGAGAUUUCGGCGUUUUUAAUACACUGCAAAUAGGUAUCAACAGGAGUUACUCUUGAGUAUCAGUGCGUACCACAAGCUCAUGAUCAGGUUGGAUUUAUGUACAAUUUCAUUAGGCACUACGUGUUGGGAAAAUUGUUUACGAUCGAUUCGUUUCCUGCAACACAGAUAAGGAUAAUGCCAUACGUAUCUACAAUUGACAUACCAGCACGAAAUCUUUAGUGUAACAUAACAAACAAAAAGAAACAUGUACAUGCCAGAAGUUAAAGCAAAAACCAAGUUACAUAGCAGUACCAGAAUUAAACCGCGAAGGUAAAUAACAAUAGCGAUAGCCAUGUAAAUGCCACUCGUCGCUGUAGGGCCGAACAUCAUAUGCAGCGGCGAUCAUCUUAUGGCCGGGCACUUGUUUUCGACACAGUUGUGUAACAAAUCUAGUGUCUGAUCUAAGAUGAUCGUGAUCUGCAUCUACCAGGGCGAGACACACUGUUAGUCCAAAGAUUAUAAAUUAACUUGAACUACUAGUGCUAGAGAGUUAGUAUUACGCAAAAAGCAUCAAAAGUUGCGACGAGCGUUUUAAGAUACAAAUGUCGCGCGAAAACAACUGUUGCGCAUGGGACAAAUGUCAUCAAAGCGUACAGAUAAAACAGAAACAAACAAAAAAAAAACAA
Molecule: RNA transcript, 6035 nt
Organism: Anopheles moucheti
Lineage: Eukaryota; Metazoa; Arthropoda; Insecta; Diptera; Culicidae
Gene name: hippocampus abundant transcript 1 protein
Exons: 11
Source: RefSeq, a predicted model, not a curated record